CUACAAGUUUUAGAUGUUUUAUAACAGUAUAAAAUGUUCUCAAGAUGUUUUAGAUGGUUAUAACAGUAUAAAGGUUCUCUCAGUGUUUUAAGAUGUUUAUAACAGUAUAAGUUCUCACAGAUGUUUAGAUUGUUAUAACAGUAAUAAUGUUCUCACAGAUGUUUUUAGAUGUUAGGAGGUUGUCUUUAGGGAGAGUUUUUUAGGUUUUAUACAGUAUAAAGGUUCUCUUCAAGAUGUUUUAGAUGUUUAUACAGUAUAAGGUUCUCACAGAUGUUUUAGAUGUUUAUAACAGUAUAAAGGUUCUCACAGAUGUUUUAGAUGUUUAUAACAGUAAUAAAGGUUUCACAGAUGUUUUAAGAUGUUAUAACAGUAUAAGGUUCUCUCAGAUGUUUUUAGAUGUUUAUACAGGCUAUAAGGUUCUCACAUGAUGUAGAUGUUAUAACAGUAUAGGUUCCACAGAUGUUUAGAUGUUAUAACAGUAUAAAGGUUCUCUACAGAUGUUUUAGAUGUUUGUAACAGUAUAAAGGUUUUCACAGAUGUUAGAUGUAUAUAACAGUAUAAAGUUCUCUCAAUGUUUAGGAUGUUUAUAACAGUUAAUAAGGUUCUCCACAGAUGGUUUAGAUGUUUGUUAACAGAUGAAGGUGUCACAGAUUGUUUAGAUGUUUAUAACAGUAUAAGGUCUCAACAGAUGUUUUAGAUGUUUAUACAGUAUUAAGCGUUCCACAGAUGUUUUAGAUGUGUGUAUAGACAGUAUAAAUGUUCUCAACAGAUGUACGAUGUUUUAUAAGCAGUAAAGGUUCUACAGAUGUUUUAGAUGUUUAUAACAGUAUUAAGGUUCUCUCAGUGUUUUAGAUGUUGUAUACAGUAUAAGUUCUCACAGAAUGU
This 885-nucleotide long non-coding RNA is filed under the name Neogobius melanostomus (round goby). Its description in RNAcentral is "lncRNA (ENSNMLG00000026780.1)". Lineage: Eukaryota; Metazoa; Chordata; Actinopteri; Gobiiformes; Gobiidae. The record is from RNAcentral.